GACGAACGCUGGCGGCGUGCUUAACACAUGCAAGUCGAACGGAAAGGCCCUGCUUUUGUGGGGUGCUCGAGUGGCGAACGGGUGAGUAACACGUGAGUAACCUGCCCUUGACUUUGGGAUAACUUCAGGAAACUGGGGCUAAUACCGGAUAGGAGCUCCUGCUGCAUGGUGGGGGUUGGAAAGUUUCGGCGGUUGGGGAUGGACUCGCGGCUUAUCAGCUUGUUGGUGGGGUAGUGGCUUACCAAGGCCUUGACGGGUAGCCGGCCUGAGAGGGGGACCGGCCACAUUGGGACUGAGAUACGGCCCAGACUCCUACGGGAGGCAGCAGUGGGGAAUAUUGCACAAUGGGCGGAAGCCUGAUGCAGCAACGCCGCGUGCGGGAUGACGGCCUUCGGGUUGUAAACCGCUUUCGCCUGUGACGAAGCGUGAGUGACGGUAAUGGGUAAAGAAGCACCGGCUAACUACGUG
RNAcentral lists this ribosomal RNA (468 nucleotides) under uncultured bacterium. Its description in RNAcentral is "partial 16S ribosomal RNA". It matches the Rfam family "Bacterial small subunit ribosomal RNA", at positions 28 to 507 of the family's 1533-position model. The record is from RNAcentral.